RNAcentral lists this ribosomal RNA (323 nucleotides) under uncultured bacterium. RNAcentral's name for it is "bacterial SSU rRNA". It matches the Rfam family "Bacterial small subunit ribosomal RNA", at positions 28 to 334 of the family's 1533-position model. The record is from RNAcentral.
GAUGAACGCUGGCGGCGUGCUUAACACAUGCAAGUCGAACGAAGCGCUUAAACGGACUUCUUCGGAAUGAAGUUUUUGCGACUGAGUGGCGGACGGGUGAGUAACGCGUGGGUAACCUGCCUCAUACAGGGGGAUAACAGUUAGAAAUGACUGCUAAUACCGCAUAAGCGCACAGUGCUGCAUGGCACAGUGUGAAAAACUCCGGUGGUAUGAGAUGGACCCGCGUCUGAUUAGCUAGUUGGUGGGGUAACGGCCUACCAAGGCGACGAUCAGUAGCCGGCCUGAGAGGUGAACGGCCACAUUGGGACUGAGACACGGCCCAA